GCAGUUUGAUCAUCCGUGGUUCUUUGCGGUUCACUCUGCCUGCACUUCCCCGCAUCAUUCCGCCCCGGGUGACGAAGGUUACGGGAAUGUGGCUCCUCCGGGAGUGUUAUAGCCCGUUGCGUAAUACCCUGGGACGGACUG
This 141-nucleotide ribosomal RNA is filed under the name Hypocreales sp. RNAcentral describes it as "partial large subunit ribosomal RNA". The record is from RNAcentral. Lineage: Eukaryota; Fungi; Ascomycota; Sordariomycetes; Hypocreales.